RNAcentral lists this ribosomal RNA (254 nucleotides) under uncultured bacterium. RNAcentral describes it as "partial 16S ribosomal RNA". It matches the Rfam family "Bacterial small subunit ribosomal RNA", at positions 524 to 776 of the family's 1533-position model. The record is from RNAcentral.
GACGUAGGGCGCGAGCGUUGUCCGGAUUUAUUGGGCGUAAAGAGCUCGUAGGCGGCUUGUUGCGUCGACUGUGAAAACCUGCGGCUCAACCGUGUGGUCUGCAUUCGAUACUGGAUGGCUAGAGUUCGGCAGAGGGAAGUGGAAUUUCAGGUGUAGCGGUGAAAUGCGUAGAUAUCUGAAGGAACAUCAGUGGCGAAAGCGACUUCCUGGACCAGAACUGACGAUCAGGCACGAAAGCGUGGGGAGCAAACAGG